Molecule: ribosomal RNA, 706 nt
Filed under: Paenibacillus sp. EKM205P
Lineage: Bacteria; Bacillati; Bacillota; Bacilli; Caryophanales; Paenibacillaceae
Description: bacterial SSU rRNA
Rfam family: Bacterial small subunit ribosomal RNA
Source: RNAcentral
GAGGGACGAAAGCGUGGGGAGCAAACAGGAUUAGAUACCCUGGUAGUCCACGCCGUAAACGAUGAUCAUUAGUUGGUGGAAUAAUUUCACUAACGCAGCUAACGCGUUAAAUGAUCCGCCUGAGUAGUAUGCUCGCAAGAGUGAAACUUAAAGGAAUUGACGGGAACCCGCACAAGCGGUGGAGCAUGUGGUUUAAUUUGAAAAUACGCGUAGAACCUUACCCACUCUUGACAUCUUCUGCAAAGCUAUAGAGAUAUAGUGGAGGUUAACAGAAUGACAGAUGGUGCAUGGUUGUCGUCAGCUCGUGUCGUGAGAUGUUAGGUUAAGUCCUGCAACGAGCGCAACCCUUUUCUUUAGUUACUAAUAUUAAGUUAAGGACUCUAGAGAUACUGCCUGGGUAACCAGGAGGAAGGUGGGGACGACGUCAAAUCAUCAUGCCUCUUACGAGUGGGGCAACACACGUGCUACAAUGGUCGGUACAAAGAGAAGCAAUAUGGUGACAUGGAGCAAAUCUCAAAAAACCGAUCUCAGUUCGGAUUGAAGUCUGCAACUCGACUUCAUGAAGUCGGAAUCGCUAGUAAUCGUAGAUCAGCUACGCUACGGUGAAUACGUUCUCGGGUUUUGUACACACCGCCCGUCGCACCAUGGGAGUUGGUAAUGCCCAAAGUCGGUGAGUUAACUUCGGAGACCAUUGCCUAAGGCAGGA